Ceratitis capitata (Mediterranean fruit fly) is the source of this 1512-nucleotide long non-coding RNA. RefSeq lists it as uncharacterized. The record is from RefSeq and is a predicted model, not a curated record. Lineage: Eukaryota; Metazoa; Arthropoda; Insecta; Diptera; Tephritidae. The transcript has 3 exons.
UAUAAAUUCAAUUCUUUUGUGUAUUUAUAAAAAUCUAUGUAUCUUGUAUGGAUUCCAAAACCCUUGGGGUCCUUACUCGCUACGCUUCUUCUUCUUUAUUGGCGUUAGCACUGCCUUCGCGAUUAUAGCCAAGCUGUGGGACAGCAUUUCAAACUCCCUACACACAACCGCAAACGAAACUAUUGGAUCUCGGAAUGGUUGCAAAAACAGCUGGUACGAUUAGGAAUGCCGUGUCGUGGUGGGGAAAUAACAGACUGCCUACUCCGCAAGCUUGCGAUCGAUCACAACACCAGCGGGUUGGGGUAAAUACCGAGAGCUAAAGAUGGAAGCAAGACGAAAUGCGUCAGUACGAUGAGCUUGAGAAGCUGGCCGACAAGGGUAUUGCUCUAAACUUCUACGAAAAAAUACGCCGACUUACGGAAGGUUUCAAGACCGGAGCAAACUCAUGUAGGACCCCGGGAGGUGAACUAGUGACGGAUGCCCAAAGUAUACUGAAUUUAUGGACACUUCUUCAGCCUGCUGAAUGGCAGUCAAAAUGAAACACCCGUUCCGUCAUCAGACUAUGAAAAAGUCCGAAUAGCAAUCGCCCUCUUAAAAAACAACAAAGUGGCGGGACCGAUGGAUUACGGGUCAAGCUAUUCAAGUAUGGGGGUGAAGAACUGAUCAGGUGCAAGCAUCAGCUUCUUUGCAAAAUAUGGUCGGACGAAAGCAUGCCAGAUGAUUGGAAUUUACGUGUGCUCAGCCCAAUCCACAAAAAGGGAGACCCUACAGUCUGCGCCAAUGAUCGUAGGAUAAAUCUUCUUAACAUCGCAUAAAAUGUCCUGUCCAGCGUAUUGCGUAAAAGACUAAAGCCCACCGCCAACAAACUGAUUGGACCUUAUCAGUGUGGCUUUAUACCUGAAAGACGAGAAAUAUAUUUUAUUGCUAUCAUUGAUGUGUUGACCCAGUAUGGUGUAAAGAAACAGGCCGCAAAAGCAGCUAAAACGGUAAAGUAUGGAGGUAAUGUCGACGGUAUUUCUACAUGUGAUCCAGACCAAUAUGCUAAACGGUUUCUAGAUUUCAUGGAUAAAGCGAUUGAGUAAUCAGUUGUCUUGGAUAACGUGAAUUUAAGAUCAGAUUAUUUUAAAUUAAGUACUCAAGUAACAACUUAAAAUUAUUGCGAUGCGAAAUAUGCAAAUGUUGUGAUUUCAUACUAGGUAACUUUAAUAAUACUUCCUUUUUUUGGUAUGCCAACUGUUUGAAGAACUAACAUUUAUGAAAUUUUUUACUAAUAUACGAAAGAAAAUAAAUUUAUUUUAUUAUGUUGAUUUCGUACUUCAAGCGCUAAUAGAUACGAUAACAUUCCCAAACAUAUUUAAACAAAGGUCAGUGUAAAGAUAGAAUAACAUCUUGUUGGAUAUAAUUUAGUUUCUGACUUUAUUGAAAUAAUUUGAAGAAUUGUGUUCUUUGCUUUAAUGUCAUCUAUGUUUCUUCAAAAUCACUAAUUAUUAUAUAUUAUUUGCAUACAAAUUA